AACGAACGCUGGCGGCGUGGAUUAGGCAUGCAAGUCGAACGAUAUCCAGGGCUAUAGCAAUAUAAUCCUGGUGACAGUGGCGAAAGGGUGAGUAAUGCGCGGGUAAUCUGCCCUUAAGUUGGGGAUAACAUUCCGAAAGGAGUGCUAAUACCGAAUGUGGUCGUCCUUCACAUGAAGGAUUAUCUGAAGACGGGGAUCCGUAAGGACCUGUCGCUUGAGGAUGAGCCCACGUACUAUCAGCUAGUUGGUGAGGUGACGGCUCACCAAGGCUAUGACGGUUAGCUGGUCUGAGAGGAUGGUCAGCCACACUGGGACUGAGACACUGCCCAGACUCCUACGGGAGCAG
This 346-nucleotide ribosomal RNA is filed under the name uncultured Lentisphaerota bacterium. Its description in RNAcentral is "bacterial SSU rRNA". It matches the Rfam family "Bacterial small subunit ribosomal RNA", at positions 29 to 351 of the family's 1533-position model. Lineage: Bacteria; Pseudomonadati; Lentisphaerota. The record is from RNAcentral.